This 253-nucleotide ribosomal RNA is filed under the name uncultured bacterium. RNAcentral's name for it is "partial 16S ribosomal RNA". It matches the Rfam family "Bacterial small subunit ribosomal RNA", at positions 524 to 776 of the family's 1533-position model. The record is from RNAcentral.
UACAGAGGGGGCAAGCGUUGUUCGGAAUUACUGGGCGUAAAGGGCGCGUAGGCGGCCUUCUAAGUCGAACGUGAAAUCCCCGGGCUCAACCCGGGAACUGCGUCCGAUACUGGAAGGCUUGAAUCCGGGAGAGGGAUGUGGAAUUCCAGGUGUAGCGGUGAAAUGCGUAGAUAUCUGGAGGAACACCGGUGGCGAAGGCGACAUCCUGGACCGGUAUUGACGCUGAGGCUCGAAAGCCAGGGGAGCAAACGGG